AUUGAACGCUGGCGGAAUGCUUUACACAUGCAAGUCGAGCGGCAGCGCGGGGCAACCUGGCGGCGAGCGGCGAACGGGUGAGUAAUGCAUCGGAACAUGUCCAUGUCGUGGGGGAUAGCCCGGCGAAAGCCGGAUUAAUACCGCAUACGCUCGAGAGAGGAAAGCCGGGGACCGCAAGGCCUGGCGCGAUUGGGUUGGCCGAUGUCCGAUUAGCUAGUUGGUGAGGUAAAGGCUUACCAAGGCGAUGAUCGGUAGCUGGUCUGAGAGGAUGAUCAGCCACACUGGGACUGAGACACGGCCCAGACUCCUACGGGAGGCAGCAGUGGGGAAUUUUGGACAAUGGGGGCAACCCUGAUCCAGCCAUUCCGCGUGAGUGAAGAAGGCCU
This 386-nucleotide ribosomal RNA is filed under the name uncultured bacterium. RNAcentral's name for it is "bacterial SSU rRNA". It matches the Rfam family "Bacterial small subunit ribosomal RNA", at positions 29 to 417 of the family's 1533-position model. The record is from RNAcentral.